This 352-nucleotide unclassified non-coding RNA is filed under the name soil metagenome. RNAcentral's name for it is "partial contains 5.8S ribosomal RNA, internal transcribed spacer 2, and large subunit ribosomal RNA". The stretch from base 1 to 120 matches the Rfam family "5.8S ribosomal RNA", at positions 35 to 154 of the family's 154-position model. The record is from RNAcentral.
GAUGAAGAACGUAGCGAAAUGCGAUAAGUAAUGUGAAUUGCAGAAUUCAGUGAAUCAUCGAAUCUUUGAACGCACAUUGCGCCCGCCAGUAUUCUGGCGGGCAUGCCUGUUCGAGCGUCAUUACAACCCUCAGGCCCCCGGGCCUGGCGUUGGGGAUCGGCGGAGCCCCCCGUGGGCACACGCCGUCCCCCAAAUGCAGUGGCGGUCCCGCCGCAGCUUCCAUCGCGUAGUAGCUAACACCUCGCGACUGGAGGGCGGCGCGGCCACGCCGUAAAACACCCAACUCUUCUGAAGUUGACCUCGAAUCAGGUAGGAAUACCCGCUGAACUUAAGCAUAUCAAUAAGCGGAGGA